UACGUGCCAGCAGCCGCGGUAAUACGUAGGGUGCAAGCGUUGUCCGAAUUAUUGGGCGUAAAGAGCUCGUAGGCGGUUUGUCGCGUCUGCUGUGAAAACUGGAGGCCAACCUCCAGCCUGCAGUGGGUACGGGCAGACUAGAGUGCGGUAGGGGAGAUUGGAAUUCUGGUGUAGCGGUGGAAUGCGCAGAUAUCAGGAGGAACACCGAUGGCGAAGGCAGAUCUCUGGCCGUAACUGACGCUGAGGAGCGAAAGCAUGGGGAGCGAACAGGAUUAGAUACCCUGGUGUCCAUGCCGUAAACGUUGGGAACUAGAUGUGGGGCCAUUCCACGGUCUCCGUGUCGCAGUAACGCAUUAAGUUCCCCGCCUGGGGAGUACGGCCGCAAGGCUAAAACUCAAAGGAAUUGCGGGGGCCCGCACAAGCGGCGGAGCAUGCGGAUUAAUUCGAUGCAACGCGAAGAACCUUACAAGGCUUGACAUAUACGAGAACGGGCCAGAAAUGGUCAACUCUUUGGACACUCGUAAACGGUGGUGCAUGGUUGUCGUCAGCUCGUGUCGUGAGAUGUUGGGUUAAGUCCCGCAACGAGGCAACCCUCGUUCUAUGUUGCCAGCACGUUAUGGUGGGAACUCAUAGGAGACUGCCGGGGCAACUCGGAGGAAGGUGGGGAUGACGUCAAAUCAUCAUGCCCCUUAUGUCUUGGGCUUCAGCAUGCUACAAUGGCCGGUACAAAGGGCUGCAAUACCGUAAGGUGGAGCGAAUCCCAAAAGCCGGUCUCAGUUCGGAUUGAGGUCUGCAACUCGACCUCAUGAAGUCGGAGUCGCUAGUAUCGCAGAUCAGCAACGCUGCGGUGAAUACGUUCCCGGGCCUUGCACACACCGCCCGUAA
Molecule: ribosomal RNA, 885 nt
Filed under: uncultured bacterium
Lineage: Bacteria
Description: bacterial SSU rRNA
Rfam family: Bacterial small subunit ribosomal RNA
Source: RNAcentral